Molecule: transfer RNA, 68 nt
Filed under: Prorocorypha snowi
Lineage: Eukaryota; Metazoa; Arthropoda; Insecta; Orthoptera; Acrididae
Description: tRNA-Tyr
Rfam family: tRNA
About the family: Transfer RNA (tRNA) molecules are approximately 80 nucleotides in length.
Source: RNAcentral
GGUGAGAUGGCUGAAUUUAAUAGGUGAUAGACUGUAAAUCUAUUUAUGAGAAUGAAUCUCUCUUACCA